RNAcentral lists this ribosomal RNA (326 nucleotides) under uncultured bacterium. RNAcentral describes it as "bacterial SSU rRNA". It matches the Rfam family "Bacterial small subunit ribosomal RNA", at positions 30 to 355 of the family's 1533-position model. The record is from RNAcentral.
AUUGAACGCUGGCGGCAUGCCUUACACAUGCAAGUCGAACGGCAGCGGACCUUCGGGUGCCGGCGAGUGGCGAACGGGUGAGUAAUAUAUCGGAACGUACCUUUCAGUGGGGGAGUAACGUAGCGAAAGUUACGCUAAUACCGCAUAUUCUGUGAGCAGGAAAGCAGGGGAUCGCAAGACCUUGCGCUGAUUGAGCGGCCGAUAUCAGAUUAGCUAGUUGGUGAGGUAAAGGACUCACCAAGGCGACGAUCUGUAGCGGGUCGUGAGAGGAUGAUCCGCCACACUGGAACUGAGACACGGUCCAGACUCCUACGGGAGGCAGCAGU